UACGUAGGGGGCUAGCGUUGUCCGGAUUUAUUGGGCGUAAAGAGCGUGUAGGCGGCCAGAUAGGUCUGCUGUGAAAACUCGAGGCUCAACCUCGAGAUGUCGGCGGAAACCAUUUGGCUAGAGUCCGGAAGAGGAAAGUGGAAUUCCUGGUGUAGCGGUGAAAUGCGCAGAUAUCAGGAAGAACACCAAUGGCGAAGGCAGCUUGCUGGGACGGUACUGACGCUGAGGCGCGAAAGCGUGGGGAGCAAACAGG
This 253-nucleotide ribosomal RNA is filed under the name uncultured bacterium. Its description in RNAcentral is "partial 16S ribosomal RNA". It matches the Rfam family "Bacterial small subunit ribosomal RNA", at positions 524 to 776 of the family's 1533-position model. The record is from RNAcentral.